This 256-nucleotide ribosomal RNA is filed under the name uncultured bacterium. RNAcentral describes it as "partial 16S ribosomal RNA". It matches the Rfam family "Bacterial small subunit ribosomal RNA", at positions 524 to 776 of the family's 1533-position model. The record is from RNAcentral.
GACGAACCGUGCGAACGUUAUUCGGAAUCACUGGGCUUAAAGCGCGUGUAGGCGGGCCGGCACGUCCGUGGCUGAAAGCCCCCGGCUCAACCGGGGAAGGGGCGCGGAUCACGACCGGCCUGGAGGGGGGUAGGGGGACCUGGAACUUCCGGUGGAGGCGGUGAAAUGCGUUGAGAUCGGAAGGAACGCCCGUGGCGAAAGCGAGGUCCUGGACCCUUUCUGACGCUGAGACGCGAAAGCCAGGGGAGCGAACGGG